RNAcentral lists this ribosomal RNA (203 nucleotides) under uncultured Aspergillus. RNAcentral describes it as "partial 26S ribosomal RNA". The stretch from base 36 to 203 matches the Rfam family "Eukaryotic large subunit ribosomal RNA", at positions 104 to 268 of the family's 3401-position model. The record is from RNAcentral. Lineage: Eukaryota; Fungi; Ascomycota; Eurotiomycetes; Eurotiales; Aspergillaceae.
CGUUCAUCGCUCGCACUGUUACGGCGGUGAGCGGCAGAGCUCAAUUUGAAUCUGGCCCCUCCGGGGUCCGAGAUUGUAAUUUGUAGAGGAUGCUUCGGGUGCGGCCCCUGCUCUAAGUGCCCUGGAACGGGCCAUCGGAGAGGGUGAGAAUCCCGUCUGGGAUGGGGUGUCCGUGCCCGUGUGAAGCUCCUUCGACGAGUCGA